This 950-nucleotide ribosomal RNA is filed under the name uncultured archaeon. Its description in RNAcentral is "bacterial SSU rRNA". It matches the Rfam family "Archaeal small subunit ribosomal RNA", at positions 1 to 941 of the family's 1478-position model. The record is from RNAcentral.
UUCCGGUUGAUCCUGCCGGACCCGACUGCUAUUUGGGUGAGAAUAAGCCAUGCGAGUUGAAUGGGAUACCUAAAGUUCCCAUAGCAAACUGCUCAGUAACACAUGAUCAACUUACCCUAUAGAGAAAAAUAACCUCGGGAAACUGAGGAUAAUGUUUCACAAUUGAAUUGGCUUGGAAAAGUUUUUCAAUGAAAAGGAUAAAAAAAAUGGUUUUUAUCUGCUAUAGGAUAGGAUCGUGUUCGAUUAUGGUUGUUGGUGAGAUAAUGGCUCACCAAGCCGAUAAUCGAUAGGGGCCGUGAGAGCGGGAGCCCCGAGAUGGGUACUGAGACAACGACCCAGGCCUUACGAGGCGCAGCAGGCGCGGAACCUCCGCAAUACACGAAAGUGUGACGGGGUUACCCAAAGUGUUCAAUAGAACUGUGGUAGGUGAGUAAUGUCCCCUACUAGAAAGGAGAGGGCAAGGCUGGUGCCAGCCGCCGCGGUAAAACCAGCUCUUCAAGUGGUCGGGAUAAUUAUUGGGCUUAAAGUGUCCGUAGCCGGUUUAGUAAGUUCCUGGUAAAAUCGGGUAGCUUAACUAUCUGCAUGCUAGGAAUACUGCUAUACUAGAGGGCGGGAGAGGUCUGAGGUACUACAGGGGUAGGGGUGAAAUCUUAUAAUCCUUGUAGGACCACCAGUGGCGAAGGCGUCAGACUGGAACGCGCCUGACGGUGAGGGACGAAAGCCAGGGGAGCGAACCGGAUUAGAUACCCGGGUAGUCCUGGCCGUAAACGAUGCAUACUAGGUGAUGGUACGGCCAUGAGCCGUAUCAGUGCCGUAGGGAAACCGUUAAGUGUGCCGCCUGGGAAGUACGGUCGCAAGGCUAAAACUUAAAGGAAUUGGCGGGGGAGCACCACAAGGGUGAAGCCUGCGGUUCAAUUGGAUUCAACGCCCGGAAAUCACUAGUGCGGCCG